UGUUUUGUAGUUUAAUAGAAUAGAAAAUUGCAAAUUUUCAGGUGAAUUAUUUCCAAAGCUU
Molecule: transfer RNA, 61 nt
Filed under: Curculionidae sp. BMNH 1039870
Lineage: Eukaryota; Metazoa; Arthropoda; Insecta; Coleoptera; Curculionidae
Description: tRNA-Cys
Source: RNAcentral